GUGCUCGCUUCGGAAGCACAUAUACUAAAAUUAUAACGCUAUAGAGAAGAUUAGCGUGGCCCCUGCGCAAGGAUGACACGCAAAUUUGUGAAGCGUUCCAUAUUUUU
Molecule: small nuclear RNA, 107 nt
Filed under: Tursiops truncatus (common bottlenose dolphin)
Lineage: Eukaryota; Metazoa; Chordata; Mammalia; Artiodactyla; Delphinidae
Also listed under: 1 other name
Source: RNAcentral